GGGGAUUGAUUGUGAGAUGCGUGGGGGAGGGGCAAGAUACAGGGAGAAGGAAGAAGUUUUUGCGUGGAUUGCGAGCGAAAAAAGGCGAGUGACAAACCCGAAAGAAGGGAAGACAAACACAUGGGCAGUACGACACUCGGAAAACGUUAGAGGACCUUGGGGGCGGCCGGGAUAGAAGAGAGAGGAGACCUAUGCGCUCUCAGUGUUUAUGGGAAAUUUCAACGCUCUCAAUGUUUUCUCCAGGAAGGCCUUCAACAGUGUUUUCCCCCUUUGGAGGUGUCGCUCACUUCCUCCUGCUCCUCCGCUCCGUGUGGAUCACAAUGUCAUCUGUGAGCAUCAUAGUCUACAGGGGUUCCUGCCUGACCACAUAUGUCAACCUGUCCAUCACAAGUGUAAACAAUACAAGGCUCAGAGCCAAUUCCUGAUAUAACCCCACCCCCACCACAAAUCCAUCUGUAACUGCAACCACAUAACCCCUGUCUCAAUGUCCUCAUAUAUGUCUAACAACCUUCCCAUUUUUCUUGAGAUUAUUUCUUAGUAAUACCAUGUAGCAUUUCUUUGUAUGUACUUUUUUUUUUCUGUUCAUCUGUUUUGAUUUUAAUGGAAUGGUUGAUCUACUUUAUGUAACUUAAUAUAAAUCUCUAUCAUACAUUGCACAUUCUCUAUUUAUUGUGCACUGGUCAUUUUACAAACUUCUCUACAAUUAUGGCAUGUUGGCCACCUCUCUUUGCAUUCCUUUUCUGUCAAAUAAUUCUUGCUAAUUAUUUUUUCUUUUUUAUCAGCAAUAUUUCUCUUGAUCUAUUAGUUCUAGAAUGUGCAGCACACUAUGUUCUUUGAUUAGAACUAUUCUUGGUCACCAUAAUUCACUGCAUAUCAAACUAAAAACAUAUACCAAAUCUGCAUCCUGCCAAUUAAU
Xiphophorus maculatus (southern platyfish) is the source of this 916-nucleotide long non-coding RNA. RefSeq lists it as uncharacterized. The transcript is spliced from 3 exons. Lineage: Eukaryota; Metazoa; Chordata; Actinopteri; Cyprinodontiformes; Poeciliidae. The record is from RefSeq and is a predicted model, not a curated record.